UUUAAUCCAAAUAGACUAUUAGUUAUAUGAGCAUAACAAAUGUCAUUUUAAAAUAAAAUGCUUAAUUUUUAAAAGACUUAUUUUACGGAAAAAAUCGAAGGAACCGGUUUAAUCCAUUUUAGACAAUAUAAAUUAGGUGAAGAAAUUAUGAAUUAAGUAAAAGAAAGCUAAGAUAAAAUAAAAAUGACAACACUUAAGGGAAUUUGUCUAGGUUAAUUGAUUAAAAAGUUAAUUAAUACAAAUAAGCAAUACAAGCUACAAAAAUAAUACAAGAAUUGAAAUUGGACCGUUAGCCCAUCAGUAAAGCUGCCCAGCUUUGGGCUUUGAAUUAUGGACUUCAGUCCAAUUUUUCUGCAUUGUAUACUGAGUGUAUAUCAGCCCCCUUUUCUUCCAGCGUUUUUGUAUAUCGGGUGUAUACAUGACCUUAUAUUGGUCAUAUAUACACGUAUUUAGUACUCUACCUGUAUAAUAAGCUUCCUUUUUUCUCAUAUUAAUCAUAUAUCUGCUGUAUAUCUGUUGUAUCCACGCGUAUAAAGCCUUGUUUCUUGUCUCUCAAUCCAUUUUUUGGGACUUUGGUUGAGGCUCGGACUCAACGAAGUUCGAAUGCAAGGAUACGGGGAGUCCCAUUGGACUCAUCCGGAAGAGUUCAUGUAAAGAGAAGAAGAGAUAAGGAUUAAUACGCAUCCCAUAAAAGCACACAGAGUUAAAUAAUAUCUAACAACGCCAAACGUCAACUAAAACAAACUAUAAUAAUCAAACACGUAGAUGGAGACUAUCAAAAGAAAGAAAGCCUGUAUUUUGUACUAAAGUAUCAAUAGUAAUGUAAAGAGAAGAAGAGAUAAGGAUUAAUACGCAUCCCAUAAAAGCACACAGAGUUAAAUAAUAUCUAACAACGCCAAACGUCAACUAAAACAAACUAUAAUAAUCAAACACGUAGAUGGAGACCAUCAAAAGAAAGAAAGCCUGUAUUUUGUACUAAAGUAUCAAUAGUAAAUUUUCCAGAAUAUACCAAAGAGAUGGCAAAGUUCAGAUAGCGCAAAAAAGAGUCUAAUCUCAAGGAUUGGGCAAUUACAACUCACACAUAAAUCCAUAGAAAUAAAAUUCAGCCACUAUUCUUUGUCAUGAAAAUAUUCAAACACUUUCUAGAGUAGCUAUCAUAUCCUUUGGUAAAGAAAAUGUCCCAGUGAUUCAGUCUUGAACCUUUUGACAAUACCAAAAUAUAACACACAGAGAACAACAUUUGGUAUUCGCACACGAUGAGUGAAUUAAAACAUGAGAUUAUAUAGUAAAUUAUAGCAUUGUAUAUAAAUUUAGAGAGAUGGAUAAAUCUACAGCUCCUAAUCAUCUAUUUCCUAAAAAGAACAAGUCAAAUAGAAAGGAUGAACAGAGGUAUAGAUCAUUGACAAAUAUUAUAAAUAUCUUUCUUAACUGUAAGGUAACACACGAGGAUAAACGACAAUCACAUAGCAAGAAGAAAAAAACAUCACAUGUAAACAUAUUGUCACUUAAGCAAGAAUGAACAACCUGAGGUGCUUCAUAUAGGAAUUUAUCAGAAUCAAGAUACGUAAGAACCAACUGUAGCAGCAUCCCAAAAUUACACACGAUCAAAUCAACUAAAUUACCCAGAAUUAAUCACGAAACAUGCAUAAAACAUGAUACAACACAACAGGCAACUAGUAAAUACAAUCACAUCAUCAACAAACAAUAUCAAUAAUACCAGCGAACAACCCCACAAUUACUACGACAACGACGAAAUCACACUCAUAAAAAAGAAUUUCUAUAAGAAAUAACUAAAUAUAGAAAGGUGUUUACCUUUCUUCGGGCAACUAACCGGGACUGACGAGCUUAAAUUGAAAGAAUUUCAUCACUAUCAAAACCCACUGCUAAUUCGCCAAAGUUUAAAAGAAUUUGCCGGGAUUGAAUGUUUUAAAGAAAUUUCUUCUUGAAUUCUUUGAUUAGGUAGGAUUAGAGGAAUGCUCCUCCCGAAUCAUCAAUUUUUCUCCAAAAAUAAUUCCCCCUUUUCAACAAUGAGAGGGAGGGUUUAUAUAGAAACCCAAAAUCCCACUUCUUUGACUGUUUUGGCGAUGUGGGAUAAAAAAUUUAGAGGGCAAUUUGAAAAAAAAAUGGAAGAUUGGCAGAUGUUUUCCGGUUUAACGGCGUUGGUCGAUAUAGCCGUUGCUGGCUGUUGAAAAGGACGUUGGUUGUUGUACGCCGCUUGGACUUGUUAUUGUCAUAUUGCUGGAUGCUGAAGAUUGUCGUCGUUUGGUCAAAGAGAGGCAUUAUAAGGGAGCUGGGCUUGGAGCGGGUCGGUGGUUUUUCGGCCUGGGCGGCUGAUUUGUUGAUAUUGGGCUG
This 2352-nucleotide long non-coding RNA is filed under the name Capsicum annuum. RNAcentral describes it as "long non-coding RNA (CANN_LNC001951)". Lineage: Eukaryota; Viridiplantae; Streptophyta; Magnoliopsida; Solanales; Solanaceae. The record is from RNAcentral.